Molecule: ribosomal RNA, 450 nt
Filed under: uncultured Glomeromycotina
Lineage: Eukaryota; Fungi; Glomeromycota
Description: SSU rRNA
Rfam family: Eukaryotic small subunit ribosomal RNA
Source: RNAcentral
AACAGCCGCGGUAAUUCCAGCUCCAAUAGCGUAUAUUAAAGUUGUUGCAGUUAAAAAGCUCGUAGUUGAAUUUUGGGUUUGGGUAAUCGGUCCGUUCUUGUAACGAGUACUGGUUAGUCGGGCCUCACCGCCUGGUGAUGCGGAAUGCCCUUUAUUGGGUGUUGCGAGUAGCCAGGACUUUUACCUUGAAAAAAUUAGAGUGUUUAAAGUAGGCAUAUGCCGGAAUACAUUAGCAUGGAAUAAUAGAAUAGGACAAUGAUUCUAUUUUGUUGGUUUCUAGGACCAUUGUAAUGAUUAAUAGGGAUAGUUGGGGGCAUUAGUAUUCAAUUGUCAGAGGUGAAAUUCUUGGAUUUAUUGAAGACUAACUACUGCGAAAGCAUUUGCCAAGGAUGUUUUCAUUAAUCAAGAACGAAAGUUAGGGGAUCGAAGACGAUCAGAUACCGUCGUAGU